This 497-nucleotide ribosomal RNA is filed under the name uncultured bacterium. Its description in RNAcentral is "partial 16S ribosomal RNA". It matches the Rfam family "Bacterial small subunit ribosomal RNA", at positions 28 to 507 of the family's 1533-position model. The record is from RNAcentral.
GACGAACGCUGGCGGCGUGCCUAAUACAUGCAAGUUGAGCGCUGAAGGUUGGUACUUGUACCAACUGGAUGAGCAGCGAACGGGUGAGUAACGCGUGGGGAAUCUGCCUUUGAGCGGGGGACAACAUUUGGAAACGAAUGCUAAUACCGCAUAAAAACUUUAAACACAAGUUUGAAGUUUGAAAGAUGCAAUUACAUCACUCAAAGAUGAUCCCGCGUUGUAUUAGCUAGUUGGUGAGGUAAAGGCUCACCAAGGCGAUGAUACAUAGCCGACCUGAGAGGGUGAUCGGCCACAUUGGGACUGAGACACGGCCCAAACUCCUACGGGAGGCAGCAGUAGGGAAUCUUCGGCAAUGGACGAAAGUCUGACCGAGCAACGCCGCGUGAGUGAAGAAGGUUUUCGGAUCGUAAAACUCUGUUGGUAGAGAAGAACGUUGGUGAGAGUGGAAAGCUCAUCAAGUGACGGUAACUACCCAGAAAGGGACGGCUAACUACGUG